This 148-nucleotide non-coding RNA is filed under the name Pan troglodytes (chimpanzee). The record is from Rfam by way of RNAcentral. Lineage: Eukaryota; Metazoa; Chordata; Mammalia; Primates; Hominidae.
GCCGGGCAUGGUGGUUCGUGCCUGUAGUCCCAGCUACUUGGGAGGCUGAGGCAGAAGAAUCGCUUGAACCCAGGAGGAAGAGGGUGCAGUGAGCUGAGACUGCACCACUGCACUCCAGCCUGGGGAACAAAGUGAGACUCUGUCUCAA